GUGACACAGUAUUCAGAAGGAAAGAGGAGAAGGAAACUGACUGAAUCAGGCAGAAAGGCCUAUCUUUCAGCUGGUGAAGUAUCACUGACAGCCCCACAGGGAUCUGUUUGCUGCUUUUAUACGUGAAGACAGCUUUAGCAUGGACAUGUAUCAAUGAAGAUGGUCUUAGUAUGCAGCUUCAGCUAUAGACACAUUCAAGAUUUUGAAAACGAACAUCAGAAUAGUUUUCCAUGGUUUGAUGUGUUUCUACAUACCUGCACAGUACUCGAUCCGAAGAACAUCUGUUUUACCAGCUGUGAAGCAGGACUGUAUGUUCUUGUGAAAAAUGGGGCUUCAGAGAUGGCCCCAUAAGUAGCUGCUGAGGACUCUCACUGGAUAAAGCGGGCGGAAAUAAGUAGUCACUACCAGUUAUAUUGGACCUCAUAGGAUCUCUGGUGUGUACAAGGAAUCAUUGAUAAAACCAAUAAUUACGUC
This is a long non-coding RNA of Strigops habroptila (Kakapo), 474 nucleotides long. RefSeq lists it as uncharacterized. The record is from RefSeq and is a predicted model, not a curated record. Lineage: Eukaryota; Metazoa; Chordata; Aves; Psittaciformes; Psittacidae. The transcript is spliced from 3 exons.